This 303-nucleotide ribosomal RNA is filed under the name uncultured bacterium. RNAcentral describes it as "partial 16S ribosomal RNA". It matches the Rfam family "Bacterial small subunit ribosomal RNA", at positions 507 to 809 of the family's 1533-position model. The record is from RNAcentral.
AGCAGUCGCCGCGGUAAUACGAAGGGUGCAAGCGUUACUCGGAAUUACUGGGCGUAAAGCGUGCGUAGGCGGCUUUUUAAGUCGGAUGUGAAAUCCCUGAGCUUAACUUAGGAAUUGCAUUCGAUACUGGGAAGCUAGAGUAUGGGAGAGGAUGGUAGAAUUCCAGGUGUAGCGGUGAAAUGCGUAGAGAUCUGGAGGAAUACCGAUGGCGAAGGCAGCCAUCUGGCCUAACACUGACGCUGAGGUACGAAAGCAUGGGGAGCAAACAGGAUUAGAUACCCCUGUAGUCCCUGUCUCUUAUAA